This 252-nucleotide ribosomal RNA is filed under the name uncultured bacterium. Its description in RNAcentral is "partial 16S ribosomal RNA". It matches the Rfam family "Bacterial small subunit ribosomal RNA", at positions 524 to 775 of the family's 1533-position model. The record is from RNAcentral.
GACAGAGGGUGCAAACGUUGUUCGGAAUUACUGGGCGUAAAGCGCGUGUAGGCGGCAGGGCAUGUCGGAUGUGAAAUCCCGUGGCUCAACCACGGAAGUGCACCCGAAACUGCCCAGCUUGAGUCUCGGAGAGGAAGGCGGAAUGCUUGGUGUAGAGGUGAAAUUCGUAGAUAUCAAGCGGAACACCGGUGGCGAAGGCGGCCUUCUGGACGAUGACUGACGCUGAGACGCGAAAGCGUGGGGAGCAAACAG